UGCGGGGCUUGCCUUCUGGC
This 20-nucleotide non-coding RNA is filed under the name Mus musculus (house mouse). The record is from RNAcentral. Lineage: Eukaryota; Metazoa; Chordata; Mammalia; Rodentia; Muridae.